This 1447-nucleotide ribosomal RNA is filed under the name uncultured bacterium. Its description in RNAcentral is "bacterial SSU rRNA". It matches the Rfam family "Bacterial small subunit ribosomal RNA". The record is from RNAcentral.
AGAGUUUGAUCAUGGCUCAGAACGUACGCUGGCGGCACGCCUAAUACAUGCAAGUCGAACGAAGUAGCAAUACUUAGUGGCAGACGGGUGAGUAACAUGUGGGUAUCUUCCCUUUGGUGAGGAAUAACACGAGGAAACUUGUGCUAAUACCUCAUAAGUCUUUACGGAGAAAGCUUUAUGCGCCAUUGGAUGAGCCUGCACUUGAUUAGUUUGUUGGUGGGGUAAUGGCCUACCAAGACAAUGAUCAAUAGCUGAUUUGAGAGGAUGAUCAGCCACAUUGGGACUGAGACACGGCCCAAACUCCUACGGGAGGCAGCAGUAGGGAAUCUUGCACAAUGGAGGAAACUCUGAUGCAGCGAUGCCGCGUGAGUGAAGAAGGCCUUUGGGUUGUAAAGCUCUUUCGUCGGGGAAGAAAAUGACUGUACCCGAAUAAGAAGGUCCGGCUAACUUCGUGCCAGCAGCCGCGGUAAUACGAAGGGACCUAGCGUAGUUCGGAAUUACUGGGCUUAAAGAGCUCGUAGGUGGUUAGAAAAGUUAGUGGUGAAAUCCCAAGGCUUAACCUUGGAACUGCCACUAAAACUUUUUAACUAGAGUAUGGUAGAGGUAAGCGGAAUUUCUAGUGUAGAGGUGAAAUUCGUAGAUAUUAGAAAGAACACCAAUUGCGAAGGCAGCUUUCUGGAUCAUUACUGACACUGAGGAGCGAAAGCAUGGGUAGCGAAGAGGAUUAGAUACCCUCGUAGUCCAUGCUGUAAACGAUGUGUGCUAGACGUUGGAAAUUUAUUUUUCAGUGUCGCAGCAAAAGCGAUAAGCACACCGCCUGGGGAGUACGACCGCAAGGUUAAAACUCAAAUGAAUUGACGGGGACCCGCACAAGUAGUGGAGCAUGUGGUUUAAUUCGAAGAUACGCGCAGAACCUUACCAACACUUGACAUGUUCGUCGCGACUCUAAGAGAUUAGAGUUUUCGGUUCGGCCGGACGAAACACAGGUGCUGCAUGGCUGUCGUCAGCUCGUGUCGUGAGAUGUUGGGUUAAGUCCCGCAACGAGCGCAACCCUUACUUUUAGUUGCUACCAUUUAGUUGGGCACUCUAAAAGAACUGCCAGUGAUAAGCUGGAGGAAGGUGGGGAUGACGUCAAGUCCUCAUGGCCCUUACGUGUUGGGCUACACACGUGCUACAAUGGUACUUACAAUGGGAAGCAAAGAGGCGACUCUAAGCAAAUCCCAAAAAGGUACCUCAGUUCGGAUUGUACUCUGCAACUCGAGUACAUGAAGCUGGAAUUACUAGUAAUCGCGGAUCAGCGCGCCGCGGUGAAUACGUUCCCGGGUCUUGUACACACCGCCCGUCACACCAUGGAAGUUGGUUACACCUUAAGGCAAAAUGUUAACCUUCGGGAAACAUUUGACUACGGUACGAUCAGCGACUGGGGUGAAGUCGUAACAAGGUAGCC